This 893-nucleotide ribosomal RNA is filed under the name Thelotrema nureliyum. RNAcentral's name for it is "SSU rRNA". It matches the Rfam family "Bacterial small subunit ribosomal RNA", at positions 359 to 1307 of the family's 1533-position model. Lineage: Eukaryota; Fungi; Ascomycota; Lecanoromycetes; Ostropales; Graphidaceae. The record is from RNAcentral.
GAUAUUGGUCAAUGGCCUAACGGCUGAACCAGCAACUUGGAGGAAUGUAUAGAGAAAGCUGGUAAAAUGCGAUGUAUCUAAUAGUAUUAGUAAUUAAUAUGAUAUUAACUAAGUUAAUUAAAAUUCAAUGUAGAUAUCUGAUAAUGACAGUAUUUGCUUAUGUCUUGACCAAAUCACGUGCCAGCAGUCGCGGUAAGACGUGGAAGAUAAGUGUUAUUCAUCUUUAACAGGUUUAAAGGGUACCUAGACGGUUAAUUAAACACCCUAAUGUAUUAACUAACUAGAGUUUGAUACAAGAAGGAUUGAGUACGGUGAGUGUAGAGAUAAAAUUCUAUUAUACCACUAUGGAACUGGUAAAGGCGAAGGCAACCUUCUAUUUAAAAACUGACGUUAAGGGACGAAGGCUCGUUAUAAAAAACAGGAUUAGAUACCCUGGUAUUUUGGGCAGACAAUGAUGAGUGCCAUAUGCAAGAUUAAUUUUUGUGUAUAAAUGAAAGUGUAAGCACUCCACCUCAAGAGUAACAUGGCAACAUGGGAACUGAAAUCAUUAGACCGUUUCUGAAACUCGUAGUGAAGUAUGUUGUUUAAUUUGAUAACCCACAAAUAACCUUACCACAACUUGAAUUACUUUAGUUUAAAGUAACAAGCGUUGCACGGCUGUCUUCAGUCAAUGUUGUGAAACUGUGGUUAGAUCCAUUGAAUUGACGUAAACCCUUACUUUGUUUAUUAUAGAGUAGUUCGCCGCUAUAUUGGUAGUGAUAUAUGGGACAAAGACAAGUCAUCAUGACCUGAACGUUGUGGGCUAUAGACGUGCCACAUUGCCUUAACAAAAAGAUGCAAAAUUGCGAAAUUUAGCUAAUCUAGAAAAAGGAAUUAAUACGGAUUGUAGUCUG